GUCCAUAGAAUUCAUAUGAUUGAUGUAACUUAAUGUGAAUACCUCUUGAAAACUUAAAAUGUUCUUUCAGAAGAUUUCUUUUUGAUUUUUACGACUUUUACUUCUUGUCAGUGGCUACUUUGAUGAUUUUAGUCCAUGAUGCAGGGUUAAGGCUUCAGAUCUGUUUCUUGUAUAUCUUUUGUUAAUGGUACGUGAUCAGUUACGUAAUGAAAAUAGAACACUUGGAUUUGUGCAUCUUUCCUUUUACAUAUAAUUUUUGCCUUUUGCAAUAUUUUCCUCUUUGAUUUGGGUUUUCACAUAUGCACCCUAAAAUGCCUAUUUUGUUUGUUUGUUAUUCGAGGUGUUGAAGAACUCUACUAACUAAUUCAAUCCCUUUGUCUUAUCCCUGUGUCUCUUAUCCCUUUGUCUGCCUUACUAAUUCAAUCUUACUCACUCUAUGAGUGUAUGUGUAAAUUAAAGUUUGUCAUUUGCUCGUGUAAUAUUCUGGCCAUCGUCAAUUCAUCGUGGUUAUACUUUCAUUUUCAUAUUGGGUUAUUUCACAUAGGUCAGGUUGCAUUAGGGUUAACUUUUUGAUUUAUUUAAAUUCUUGGCUGAUACUCUGGGAAUAGUAAGUGUAGAUUAAAAGUUUUUCUACUGCCGAUGAAUUGAACGUUCUAAGAUGGAAAACUUGAAAAUAUUGCUGCAAAAGAUAAAGUGUUCUAAGAUGUGCCCCAUAUGCUUUGAGUUAUGUUAGGGCUGCAUUUUUCCACUAAUCAUUGCGCAUGAUUUAUUUUUAGGGUUCCAGACCCCAGGUCUAGCAUAGAGCUGGGCACCUUAAGUUCUUCAGUCUUAACCUAGCAAUAUGAUGAAAGUUAAAUAUCUUUUUCUUUGUAUGUUAUUUCUUGUGUAGGUGGGGCAUCAUGGACGCCUCUUUCUAUUCGCUAGAGAUGAGUGGAAAUGCUGCCUAAUUAGGUUUGAACUACAGAGAUAUAAGCAAACGAUUUCAUUUGCUACUAAAUUUUGCAGCUUGUGCCAUGCAGAGAUUGAUUGGUUAUUCAAAGAUGUCAAAGAUAUUCAAAGAAAUGGAUUACAAGUGACCAAGCUGGAUAGUGAUCACAAUAUGAAGCAAGGGCAUGAAGGAAAUGAUGUGAGAUUGUGGCAUGCAGCUGGCAUAUUGAGCUUCAGUGAAGAGAACAACUCACACGAUAGGCAUUGGGUGCUGAAAUAGUUCUGCACAUUGCGGGUGCUAAGCUGCUUGAGACAUCCUAUAACUUUGUUUUCUACAUGCCUUUAUAUUUGUAAUCUCGGAGUUAUAAAGAUAUAUGACCAUGGAAUUUUAGUCGAUUGAAGGCCUUGCCUUUUAUCUGCAUUUUCUAAAGAUCAAGAGUGG
This is a long non-coding RNA of Spinacia oleracea (spinach), 1369 nucleotides long. RefSeq lists it as uncharacterized. Lineage: Eukaryota; Viridiplantae; Streptophyta; Magnoliopsida; Caryophyllales; Amaranthaceae. The transcript is spliced from 3 exons. The record is from RefSeq and is a predicted model, not a curated record.